RNAcentral lists this ribosomal RNA (854 nucleotides) under uncultured bacterium. RNAcentral describes it as "bacterial SSU rRNA". It matches the Rfam family "Bacterial small subunit ribosomal RNA", at positions 8 to 847 of the family's 1533-position model. The record is from RNAcentral.
AGAGUUUGAUCAUGGCUCAGAACGAACGCUGGCGGCGUGCUUAAUACAUGCAAGUCGAACGUGAAAUCCGCUUUCGGGCGGAGAGUAAAGUGGCGCACGGGUGAGUAACGCGUGGAUAAUCUACCCUGAGGCCCGGGAUAACUCGCCGAAAGGCGGGCUAAUACCGGAUAAUGUCCCAUUACCCAAGUAAUGUGACCAUAGGAGGCCCUGCUUCCGCCACAGGAUGAGUCCGCGUACCAUUAGCUAGUUGGUAGGGUAAUGGCCUACCAAGGCUACGAUGGUUAGCUGGUCUGAGAGGACGAUCAGCCACACUGGAACUGAGACACGGUCCAGACUCCUACGGGAGGCAGCAGUAGGGAAUAUUGCGCAAUGGGGGAAACCCUGACGCAGCGACGCCGCGUGAGCGAUGAAGGCCUUCGGGUCGUAAAGCUCUGUCAGGUGGGAAGAACCCUCCGUCGGUGAAUAAUCGGCGGAGCUGACGGUACCACCAGAGGAAGCACCGGCUAACUCCGUGCCAGCAGCCGCGGUAGCACGGAGGGUGCAAGCGUUGUUCGGAAUCACUGGGCGUAAAGGACGCGCAGGCGGCCCGGUAAGUCGGAAGUGAAAUCCGUCGGCUCAACCGACGAACGGCUUCCGAUACUGCCGGGCUUGAGUACGGGAGAGGAAAGCGGAAUUCCCAGUGUAGAGGUGAAAUUCGUAGAUNUUGGGAANAACACCGGUGGCGAAGGCGGCUUUCUGGACCGAUACCGACGCUGAGGCGUGAAAGCGUGGGGAGCAAACAGGAUUANAUNNCCUGGUAGUCCACGCUGUAAACGGNGAGUACUAGGUGUAGGGGGUACCGACCCCCCUGNGCC